UACUGUGAUGAUAACAUAGUUCAGCAGACU
Molecule: non-coding RNA, 30 nt
Filed under: Cricetulus griseus (Chinese hamster)
Lineage: Eukaryota; Metazoa; Chordata; Mammalia; Rodentia; Cricetidae
Source: RNAcentral